AGUGAACGCUGGCGGUAGGCCUAACACAUGCAAGUCGAACGGCAGCACAGUAAGAGCUUGCUCUUACGGGUGGCGAGUGGCGGACGGGUGAGGAAUACAUCGGAAUCUACUUUUUCGUGGGGGAUAACGUAGGGAAACUUACGCUAAUACCGCAUACGAUCUACGGGUGAAAGCAGGGGAUCUUCGGACCUUGCGCGAUUGAAUGAGCCGAUGUCGGAUUAGCUAGUUGGCGGGGUAAAGGCCCACCAAGGCGACGAUCCGUAGCUGGUCUGAGAGGAUGAUCAGCCACACUGGAACUGAGACACGGCCCAGACUCCUACGGGAGGCAGCAGUGGGGAAUAUUGGACAAUGGGCGCAAGCCUGAUCCAGCCAUACCGCGUGGGUGAAGAAGGCCUUCGGGUUGUAAAGCCCUUUUGUUGGGAAAGAAAAGCAGCAGGUUAAUACCCCGCUGUUCUGACGGUACCCAAAGAAUAAGCACCGGCUAACUUCGUG
This 492-nucleotide ribosomal RNA is filed under the name uncultured bacterium. RNAcentral describes it as "partial 16S ribosomal RNA". It matches the Rfam family "Bacterial small subunit ribosomal RNA", at positions 29 to 507 of the family's 1533-position model. The record is from RNAcentral.